This is a non-coding RNA of Mus caroli (Ryukyu mouse), 584 nucleotides long. NCBI's taxonomy places the organism in Eukaryota, Metazoa, Chordata, Mammalia, Rodentia, Muridae. The record is from RefSeq and is a predicted model, not a curated record.
GAACCAGUGCUUUAGAAACUCCACACAGUUAAGCAGUGCGUCUGCUUACUGUCUGUUAUAUAACUUUAGACCCAAGGACAAUGCUUGACAGGGUCAGUAUUCAAAAAUCUGUCCAAGGUGCCUUUGUUUGGUGCUCUCCGACGAGUGUUUAAGCAAUAUAUGCACAAGGUUUCUUCUCACAGCUGCCAAAACUAGAAUUGGAGAUGCUAGAGAGGAAGAUGUAGAAAAUGGGCAAAAUAUCAGCCUGAUACCAUGAGGAUGAAUGAGAGCUUACCCUUGCCUCUCCACAACCACAGCAGUUUGGUGAUUUUGGACCAGUCUGAAAAUGUAGAAACACAGUCCCAACCGUAUUCCAUGGUAAUAUAAUGGAUGUUAGAUGUGGUGGUUGUUCAGACAAAUUGCCAGAGUAUGCAGAUUUCAGUGCUGUAUAUUGGUCACACCAAUGUGAUUUCCAGUCAUCUUUAACUUUGCUUACAUUUGUACUUGAAUCAAGCCAUAAAUCUACUACUGGUGGUGUCAAGUCAACUAGUGAUGUAUUGGAUAUUUGAAGAAAACAGAGAUACCACUGAAGACCUAUGAUGUAA